This is a long non-coding RNA of Gossypium arboreum, 1345 nucleotides long. RefSeq lists it as uncharacterized. NCBI's taxonomy places the organism in Eukaryota, Viridiplantae, Streptophyta, Magnoliopsida, Malvales, Malvaceae. The transcript is spliced from 4 exons. The record is from RefSeq and is a predicted model, not a curated record.
AGUCUGCCUAACAAAUUUUUGACCCGAAAUUAAAAUAAAAUAAAAACAGAAAACUCUAGAAAAAAUGUCAACACUAUUUCGCCCAACCAGAAGAGUCUGUAUUCGUCUUGUCAUUUCAUCUACCAGUGCUUUGUAAAGACGUUUCCAGAUUCUCAAGGAAAAACUUUUGCUCCAUGCCUAAUGAUCUUCUUCUAUUUUCUUUCCUUUUUCCUUCUUUCACUUCUUUCUGUUCUCAGUCUGAUUCUCACUUCUUCCUUUUCAUUUAAAAAGUUUUGUAAAGUCAUGUAUGUUUACUGAUGUAGAGAUCGUCUUUUCUUUCUUCAGCACUAUAGGUGGUACUGAUUCUAUUUCCAGAUGAUUUAUUCCAUCCCCGAUCUACUUCCGCUUCAGUAAUACCGUUUUCAUCGUACCCAGGAGCAAGCAUCAAAGUUUGUUUUGAAAAAACCUUUUUUCGGAGGCCUCCAUAGCUCGGAAUCCAGACUUGAGAUCUCCUAUGGCUUUCAUGCAUCCAUUUGUUCCUGGCUGACCAGAUAGCCCAUAUAGCGUAGAUGAAGUUCGACCUACUUCUGUUGUAUUGUUAAGUAGGAUCCAGGCAAACCGUUCCAUAAACUCUAAUUGAAAAAUACUCUAUGGCCAUGCAAAAUCCAAUUUUUCCCAUGUUUCCUUUGUGACAGCACAAUCGCGGAAGACAUGCUCUCUGGUUUCCAACCCUUGCGUGCAUCUUUGACAUAUUGCCUCAUUAAUUAAUCACUUAGUUCUUAGGUUUACUAGAGUAGGGAGAUAGCUGAGGGUAGCUAUCCAAGCUGUAAUAUUAAUUUUUGAAUGGAGGUCAUUGUUCUAGAGUUUUUUGUAACAUCUGUUAAUCUCAUUUGGCCUAUAAUUUUUAUUUCUUUGUAAAAGAAUCUUGUAUUCGCUGCGCACCGUAUAUUCUCCAGAUGCCUCGCCCCUCCAGCUUAGAAAGUCUUUAUGAGAAAAAUAAGCCAGUGGAAUUCGCAUAAUCUUUUGAGCAACCUCUUCAGAGAAGUUUUUUUAUCAGUAGGUAAUCAACGUUUGGAACCCAGACAUCUUCUUCAAUGCUGAUAUUACGCCUGUUACCCACCCUUCGUCGCAGUCUUGAAAGCAGAAGUCCUUUUGCAGCCCAUAUACUUUUCCAAGUAUAUGAUGGUAAGCUUCGUAAAUAUGAACUUAAAAAGUUAGAAUUUGGAUGAUACUUGGCUUUUAAUGUUCUUACUAAAAGGGAUAUAGGAUUAUCAAUUAGUCUCCAUCCUUGCUUCGCGAGGAGGGCCAAAUUAAAUUUACAUAAGUUACGAUAUCCAAGUCCACCCCCAUCUUUUAAUUCACAUAA